AUUACUUUUCAGCUUUUUGGCUAAGAUCAAGUGUAGUAUCUGUAGCCAUUUCAUAACUUGAUUUCUAUGUCCAUCUUUA
This 79-nucleotide small nuclear RNA is filed under the name Cervus hanglu yarkandensis (Yarkand deer). RNAcentral describes it as "U2 spliceosomal RNA (ENSCHYG00000027032.1)". Lineage: Eukaryota; Metazoa; Chordata; Mammalia; Artiodactyla; Cervidae. The record is from Rfam by way of RNAcentral.